GCCUACGGGGGGCAGCAGUGGGGAAUAUUGCACAAUGGGGGAAACCCUGAUGCAGCGACGCCGCGUGAGUGAAGAAGUAUCUCGGUACGUAAAGCUCUAUCAGCAGGGAAGAAAAAAAGUCUUUGGCUUUGGACGGUACCUGACUAAGAAGCCCCGGCUAACUACGUGCCAGCAGCCGCGGUAAUACGUAGGGGGCAAGCGUUAUCCGGAUUCACUGGGCGUAAAGGGAGCGCAGGCGGCAUGGCAAGUCUGAUGUGAAAACCCGGGGCCCAACCCCGGGAGUGCAUUGGAAACUGCCAGGCUGG
RNAcentral lists this ribosomal RNA (305 nucleotides) under uncultured bacterium. RNAcentral describes it as "partial 16S ribosomal RNA". It matches the Rfam family "Bacterial small subunit ribosomal RNA", at positions 337 to 644 of the family's 1533-position model. The record is from RNAcentral.